This 903-nucleotide ribosomal RNA is filed under the name Hypomyces samuelsii. RNAcentral's name for it is "LSU rRNA". It matches the Rfam family "Eukaryotic large subunit ribosomal RNA", at positions 33 to 967 of the family's 3401-position model. The record is from RNAcentral. Lineage: Eukaryota; Fungi; Ascomycota; Sordariomycetes; Hypocreales; Hypocreaceae.
CUUAGCAUAUCAAUAAGCGGAGGAAAAGAAACCCACAGGGAUUGCCCCAGUAACGGCGAGUGAAGCGGCAACAGCUCAAAUUUGAAAUCUGGCCCCUCGGGCCCGAGUUGUAAUUUGUAGAGGAUGCUUUUGGCAAGGUGCCGCCCGAGUUCCCUGGAACGGGACGCCGCAGAGGGUGAGAGCCCCGUCUGGCUGGCCGCCGAGCCUCUGUAAAGCUCCUUCGACGAGUCGAGUAGUUUGGGAAUGCUGCUCAAAAUGGGAGGUAUAUGUCUUCUAAAGCUAAAUAUUGGCCAGAGACCGAUAGCGCACAAGUAGAGUGAUCGAAAGAUGAAAAGCACUUUGAAAAGAGGGUUAAACAGUACGUGAAAUUGUUGAAAGGGAAGCGCUCAUGACCAGACUUGGGCUUGGCGGAUCAUCCGGCGUUCUCGCCGGUGCACUUCGCCUCGCCCAGGCCAGCAUCAGUUCGCGCCGGGGGACAAAAGCUUCGGGAAUGUGGCUCCUCCGGGAGUGUUAUAGCCCGUUGCAUAAUACCCUGGGGCGGACUGAGGUUCGCGCAUCUGCAAGGAUGCUGGCGUAAUGGUCAUCAGCGACCCGUCUUGAAACACGGACCAAGGAGUCGUCUUCGUAUGCGAGUGUUCGGGUGUCAAACCCCUACGCGUAAUGAAAGUGAACGCAGGUGAGAGCUUCGGCGCAUCAUCGACCGAUCCUGAUGUUCUCGGAUGGAUUUGAGUAAGAGCAUACGGGGCCGGACCCGAAAGAAGGUGAACUAUGCCUGUAUAGGGUGAAGCCAGAGGAAACUCUGGUGGAGGCUCGCAGCGGUUCUGACGUGCAAAUCGAUCGUCAAAUAUGGGCAUGGGGGCGAAAGACUAAUCGAACCUUCUAGUAGCUGGUUUCCGCCGAAGU